CCCUUAGAUGUUCGGGGCCGCACGCGCGCUACACUGAAGGAAUCAGCACGUCUUUCUCCUUGUCCGAAAGGACUGGGUAACCCGCUGAACCUCCUUCGUGCUAGGGAUUGGGGCUUGUAAUUCCUCCCCAUGAACGAGGAAUUCCCAGUAAGCGCGAGUCAUAAGCUCGCGUUGAUUACGUCCCUGCCCUUUGUACACACCGCCCGUCGCUACUACCGAUUGGAUGGUUUAGUGAGAUCCUCGGAUUGGUCCCGGAGCGGCCUCUGGUCGUGCCGGAGUGCCGAAAAGAAUGUCGAACUUGAUCAUCUAGAGGAAGUAAAAGUCGUAACA
This 330-nucleotide ribosomal RNA is filed under the name uncultured eukaryote. RNAcentral's name for it is "partial 18S ribosomal RNA". It matches the Rfam family "Eukaryotic small subunit ribosomal RNA", at positions 1470 to 1796 of the family's 1831-position model. The record is from RNAcentral.